RNAcentral lists this ribosomal RNA (300 nucleotides) under Triticum aestivum (bread wheat). Its description in RNAcentral is "partial small subunit ribosomal RNA". Lineage: Eukaryota; Viridiplantae; Streptophyta; Magnoliopsida; Poales; Poaceae. The record is from RNAcentral.
AUGCUGCUCGUCGCGGCGGACAGGUAUGAACUGGAGAAGCUGAAACUGGUCUGCGAGGAGGCACUGUGCCGGCACAUCGGCAUGGGCUCCGUGUUUGCCACUUUGGCGUUGGCCGAGCGGCACGGCUGCCCCGUGUUGAAGGAGGCAUGCAUGCGAUUCCUGUCUUCCCCCGGUAAUCUGGAAGCUGUCAUGGCAAUGGAUGGGUUUGAGCAGCUAAAGAAAGAUUGCUCCUCUGCUCUCUUGGAGCUUGUCGUCAACAAGAUGGUGCAACAAAGCUCCUCUGCUCCCUCGGGGCUUUAA